RNAcentral lists this ribosomal RNA (400 nucleotides) under Salmonella enterica. Its description in RNAcentral is "bacterial SSU rRNA". It matches the Rfam family "Bacterial small subunit ribosomal RNA", at positions 269 to 661 of the family's 1533-position model. The record is from RNAcentral. Lineage: Bacteria; Pseudomonadati; Pseudomonadota; Gammaproteobacteria; Enterobacterales; Enterobacteriaceae.
CAAGGCGACGAUCCCUAGCUGGUCUGAGAGGAUGACCAGCCACACUGGAACUGAGACACGGUCCAGACUCCUACGGGAGGCAGCAGUGGGGAAUAUUGCACAAUGGGCGCAAGCCUGAUGCAGCCAUGCCGCGUGUAUGAAGAAGGCCUUCGGGUUGUAAAGUACUUUCAGCGGGGAGGAAGGUGUUGUGGUUAAUAACCGCAGCAAUUGACGUUACCCGCAGAAGAAGCACCGGCUAACUCCGUGCCAGCAGCCGCGGUAAUACGGAGGGUGCAAGCGUUAAUCGGAAUUACUGGGCGUAAAGCGCACGCAGGCGGUCUGUCAAGUCGGAUGUGAAAUCCCCGGGCUCAACCUGGGAACUGCAUUCGAAACUGGCAGGCUUGAGUCUUGUAGAGGGGGG